CACGCCGUAAACGAUGGGUGCUAGGUGUCUCGGGUAUUGACCCCUGAGGUGCCGUAGCUAACGCGUUAAGCACCCCGCCUGGGAAGUACGGUCGCAAGACUAAAACUCAAAGGAAUUGACGGGGGCCCGCACAAGCAGUGGAGCAUGUGGUUUAAUUCGACGCAACGCGCAGAACCUUACCCGGGCUAGAAAAGUACGGUAGUCGGUGGAAACACUGAUUUGCUCGCAAGAGAGCCGUAAUCCAGGUGC
RNAcentral lists this ribosomal RNA (249 nucleotides) under uncultured Pseudomonadota bacterium. Its description in RNAcentral is "uncultured proteobacterium partial 16S ribosomal RNA". It matches the Rfam family "Bacterial small subunit ribosomal RNA", at positions 796 to 1041 of the family's 1533-position model. The record is from RNAcentral. Lineage: Bacteria; Pseudomonadati; Pseudomonadota.